This 72-nucleotide transfer RNA is filed under the name Fukomys damarensis (Damara mole-rat). It matches the Rfam family "tRNA". From Rfam's summary of the family: Transfer RNA (tRNA) molecules are approximately 80 nucleotides in length. Their secondary structure includes four short double-helical elements and three loops (D, anti-codon, and T loops). The record is from Rfam by way of RNAcentral. Lineage: Eukaryota; Metazoa; Chordata; Mammalia; Rodentia; Bathyergidae.
GGGGGUGUAGCUCAGUGGUAGAGUGCUUGUCUACCACGUGUGAGGUCCUGGGUUCCACCCCUAGAACCACCA